RNAcentral lists this ribosomal RNA (465 nucleotides) under uncultured bacterium. RNAcentral describes it as "partial 16S ribosomal RNA". It matches the Rfam family "Bacterial small subunit ribosomal RNA", at positions 338 to 795 of the family's 1533-position model. The record is from RNAcentral.
CCUACGGGCGGCAGCAGUGGGGAAUAUUGCGCAAUGGGCGAAAGCCUGACGCAGCGACGCCGCGUGAGGGAUGAAGGUCUUCGGAUCGUAAACUUCUGUUAGCAGGGAAGAACGGUCACUGUGCUAAUCAGCAGUGAAUUGACGGUACCUGCAAAGGAAGCACCGGCUAACUCCGUGCCAGCAGCCGCGGUAAUACGGAGGGUGCGAGCGUUGAUCGGAUUUACUGGGCGUAAAGCGCUCGUAGGCGGUAUGUCAAGUCAAGGGUGAAAUCCCCGGGCUCAACGUUGGACCUGCUUUUGAAACUGGCAAACUUGAGUGUGUGAGAGGCUAGUGGAAUUCCAGGUGUAGGAGUGAAAUCCGUAGAUAUCUGGAGGAACAUCAGUGGCGAAGGCGACUAUCUGGCACAUAACUGACGCUGAGGAGCGAAAGCGUGGGUAGCAAACAGGAUUAGAUACCCUAGUAGUC